This 1843-nucleotide unclassified non-coding RNA is filed under the name Hevea brasiliensis (rubber tree). The record is from RNAcentral. Lineage: Eukaryota; Viridiplantae; Streptophyta; Magnoliopsida; Malpighiales; Euphorbiaceae.
AUAAAAUCCAACUGUCUUUCCCAAUCAACGCAAAAUCCAAGUUUAUAUAUAGUCUACCCCCAAGAUUCCCGGCUACCUCUCUCCCAUCUCACCUCUCUCGCGUUCUCUUUCACUCUCUCUCUCUUCACCAUGGUUCUCUCCAAGACAGCGUCGGAAUCCGACGUCUCCGUCCACUCCACCUUCGCUUCCCGCUAUGUCCGAGCUUCACUACCACGGUUCAAGAUGCCAGAGAACUCGAUCCCAAAGGAAGCAGCUUACCAGAUCAUCAACGAUGAGCUGAUGCUGGAUGGGAACCCUAGGCUGAAUCUGGCAUCCUUUGUGACCACAUGGAUGGAACCUGAGUGCGAUAAGCUUAUGAUGGAAGCCAUCAACAAGAACUACGUUGACAUGGAUGAGUACCCUGUCACCACUGAGUUGCAGAACCGAUGUGUUAAUAUGAUAGCUCAUCUAUUUAACGCACCACUUGGAGAUUCAGAGACUGCAAUUGGAGUAGGAACUGUGGGAUCUUCAGAGGCAAUAAUGUUGGCUGGAUUAGCAUUCAAGAGGAAGUGGCAGAACAAGAGAAAAGCUGAGGGAAAGCCCUAUGAUAAGCCCAACAUUGUCACUGGAGCCAAUGUUCAGGUUUGUUGGGAGAAAUUUGCUAGGUAUUUUGAAGUGGAGUUGAAGGAAGUGAAGCUUAGAGAUGGGUAUUAUGUGAUGGAUCCAGCGAAAGCUGUGGAGAUGGUUGAUGAGAACACAAUUUGUGUUGCUGCUAUUCUUGGCUCCACUCUUAAUGGAGAAUUUGAAGAUGUAAAGCUCUUGAAUGAUCUCUUGAUAGAGAAGAACAAGCAAACUGGAUGGGAUACUCCUAUCCAUGUUGAUGCAGCAAGUGGUGGGUUUAUUGCCCCUUUUAUUUAUCCAGAACUUGAGUGGGAUUUCCGAUUGCCAUUGGUGAAGAGUAUCAAUGUUAGCGGGCACAAAUAUGGACUGGUCUAUGCUGGAAUUGGUUGGGUCAUUUGGAGGAGCAAAGAUGACUUGCCUGAAGAACUCAUCUUCCAUAUCAACUACCUUGGAGCUGAUCAACCUACUUUCACCCUUAAUUUCUCCAAAGGUUCUAGUCAAGUUAUUGCUCAAUACUAUCAACUCAUUCGCUUGGGCUAUGAGGGGUACAGAAACAUUAUGGAAAAUUGCAGAGACAACAUGCUGGUUUUGAAGGAAGGACUAGAGAAGACAGGGCGUUUCAACAUUGUUUCAAAGGACAAUGGGGUGCCACUGGUAGCUUUUUCCUUGAAAGACAACAGCUGCCACAAUGAGUUCGAAAUCUCCGAAAUGUUAAGGAGAUUUGGUUGGAUUGUGCCUGCAUACACAAUGCCGCCUGAUGCAGAACAUGUAACUGUGCUUCGAGUUGUCAUCAGAGAGGACUUUUCUCGCGCGCUCGCAGAGCGCCUUGUUCAUGACAUAGAUAAAGUUCUAAACGAGCUUGAUACUCUGCCAGCCAGGGUAACUUCCAAGAUUUCAAUAGCUGAAGAGAAAGAAAAGAAUGGCACCAUUUUAGUCACCAAGAAGAGUGAUUUGGAGACACAGAGGGAGAUUACUACCGUUUGGAGGAAGUUUGUCAUGGAAAGGAAGAAGAUGAAUGGUGUUUGUUAGAGGGUAAAGGCAAAACUCUCUGCCGUCUAAUAUAUUAUUUUUCCCUUUCCGAGAGUGCAUGUUGCUUUCCCAAGAGAAAAACAAAGUUAUGGUUUGUUAUUUGGCAUGGCUACUUACCUUAAACCUUUUAUUUUUCAUAUGAAUCUAUUAUAUCUUCCAACUUAAAGAAUGGAUCUUUUAUUUUAUGCUGGAUAUUAAAAAUUUUAAUUAUUUU